AGUGAACGCUGGCGGCGUGCCUAAUACAUGCAAGUCGAACGGAGAUUAAGUAGCUUGCUAUGUAAUCUUAGUGGCGCACGGGUGAGUAAUAUAUAGCUAACUUGCCCAUUACUAAGGGACAACAGUUGGAAACGACUGCUAAUACCUUAUACUCCGUAUCUAUAUAAGUAGAUACGGGAAAGUUUUUCGGUAAUGGAGAGGGCUAUAUCGUAUCAGCUAGUUGGUAAGGUAAUGGCUUACCAAGGCACUUACGCGUAACUGGACUGAGAGGAUGAUCAGUCAGAAUGGAACUGACACACGGACCAGAAUCGUAAGGGAGGCAGCAGGAGGGAAUAUUGCUCAACGGGGGAAACACUGAAGCAGCAACGCCGCGUGGAGAAUGACACUUUUCGGAGCGUAAACUCCUUUUCUUGGGAAAGAAUUAUGACGGUACCCAAGGAAUAAGCACCGGCUAACUCCGUG
This 462-nucleotide ribosomal RNA is filed under the name uncultured bacterium. Its description in RNAcentral is "partial 16S ribosomal RNA". It matches the Rfam family "Bacterial small subunit ribosomal RNA", at positions 29 to 507 of the family's 1533-position model. The record is from RNAcentral.